RNAcentral lists this ribosomal RNA (638 nucleotides) under uncultured Cladophialophora. RNAcentral describes it as "eukaryotic LSU rRNA". The stretch from base 250 to 404 matches the Rfam family "5.8S ribosomal RNA". The record is from RNAcentral. Lineage: Eukaryota; Fungi; Ascomycota; Eurotiomycetes; Chaetothyriales; Herpotrichiellaceae.
UUGGAAGUAAAAGUCGUAACAAGGUUUCCGUAGGUGAACCUGCGGAAGGAUCAUUAACGAGUUAGGGUCUUUCAGGCCCGACCUCCCCAACCCUAUGUUUAUUGAACCUCUGUUGCUUCGGCGGACCCGUCUCACGGCCGCCGGAGGACCGCUGCGAGGCGUCCUCUGGCCAGCGUCCGCCGAUGGCCAACCUACUAAACUCUGAAUGAAUCGUGUCAUAUGUCUAAGUCUAUGAUUAAAUUAAAGCAAAACUUUCAACAACGGAUCUCUUGGUUCUGGCAUCGAUGAAGAACGCAGCGAAAUGCGAUAAGUAAUGCGAAUUGCAGAAUUCCAGUGAGUCAUCGAAUCUUUGAACGCACAUUGCGCCCUUUGGUAUUCCGAAGGGCAUGCCUGUUCGAGCGUCAUUAUCACCCCUCAAGCCCCGCGCUUGGUGUUGGACGGCCGGUUGAGCGAUCGACCCCUCCUAAAGACAAUGACGGCGGCCUGUGGUUCCCCCGGUACACUGAGCUUUUCAUCGAGCACGUAUCGGACAAGGGCACCCGGGACCCGGUCCUCUCCUUUAACUAGGAAACUUCUAAGGUUGACCUCGGAUCAGGUAGGAAUACGCGCUGAACUUAAGCAUAUCAAUAAGCGGAGGA